GGCGGCGUGCUUAACACAUGCAAGUCGAACGAGAACGGGUUAUAGCUUGCUAUAACUGUCAGCUAAGUGGCGCACGGGUGAGUAAUGUAUAGUUAACCUGCCCUCUAGAAAGGAAUAACAGUUGGAAACGACUGCUAAUGCCCUAUAUGCCUUUAAGACAUAAGUCUGCAAGGGAAACGCUUUAGUGCUAGAGGAUGGGACUGUAUGGUAUCAGCUAGUUGGUGAGGUAAAGGCUCACCAAGGCAAUGACGCCUAACUGGUUUGAGAGGAUGAUCAGUCACACUGGAACUGAGACACGGUCCAGACUCCUACGGGAGGCAGCAGUGGGGAAUAUUGCACAAUGGAGGAAACUCUGAUGCAGCAACGCCGCGUGGAGGAUGACACUUUUCGGAGCGUAAACUCCUUUUAUAUAGGAAGAUAAUGACGGUACUAUAUGAAUAAGCACCGGCUAACUCCGUGCCAGCAGCCGCGGUAAUACGGAGGGUGCAAGCGUUACUCGGAAUCACUGGGCGUAAAGAGCGUGUAGGCGGGUUAAUAAGUUUGAAGUGAAAUCCUAUGGCUCAACCAUAGAACUGCUUUGAAAACUGUUAAC
This 592-nucleotide ribosomal RNA is filed under the name uncultured bacterium. RNAcentral describes it as "bacterial SSU rRNA". It matches the Rfam family "Bacterial small subunit ribosomal RNA", at positions 38 to 640 of the family's 1533-position model. The record is from RNAcentral.